GAAGGUGUGUCGUGAGGCAUGCUGGAGGUAUCAGAAGUGCGAAUGCUGACAUAAGUAACGAUAAAGCGGGUGAAAAGCCCGCUCGCCGGAAGACCAAGGGUUCCUGUCCAACGUUAAUCGGGGCAGGGUGAGUCGACCCCUAAGGCGAGGCCGAAAGGCGUAGUCGAUGGGAAACGGGUUAAUAUUCCCGUACUUGGUGUUACUGCGAAGGGGGGACGGAGAAGGCUAUGUUGGCCGGGCGACGGUUGUCCCGGUUUAAGCGUGUAGGUGUGUGUUCCAGGUAAAUCCGGUUCACUUUAACACUGAGGCGUGAUGACGAGGCACUACGGUGCUGAAGCAACAAAUGCCCUGCUUCCAGGAAAAGCCUCUAAGCAUCAGGUAACAUCAAAUCGUACCCCAAACCGACACAGGUGGUCAGGUAGAGAAUACCAAGGCGCUUGAGAGAACUCGGGUGAAGGAACUAGGCAAAAUGGUGCCGUAACUUCGGGAGAAGGCACGCUGACACGUAGGUGAAGUGAUUUACUCACGGAGCUGAAGUCAGUCGAAGAUACCAGCUGGCUGCAACUGUUUAUUAAAAACACAGCACUGUGCAAACACGAAAGUGGACGUAUACGGUGUGACGCCUGCCCGGUGCCGGAAGGUUAAUUGAUGGGGUCAGCGCAAGCGAAGCUCCUGAUCGAAGCCCCGGUAAACGGCGGCCGUAACUAUAACGGUCCUAAGGUAGCGAAAUUCCUUGUCGGGUAAGUUCCGACCUGCACGAAUGGCGUAAUGAUGGCCAGGCUGUCUCCACCCGAGACUCAGUGAAAUUGAACUCGCUGUGAAGAUGCAGUGUACCCGCGGCAAGACGGAAAGACCCCGUGAACCUUUACUAUAGCUUGACACUGAACAUUGAGCCUUGAUGUGUAGGAUAGGUGGGAGGCUUUGAAGUGUGGACGCCAGUCUGCAUGGAGCCGACCUUGAAAUACCACCCUUUAAUGUUUGAUGUUCUAACGUGGACCCGUGAUCCGGGUUGCGGACAGUGUCUGGUGGGUAGUUUGACUGGGGCGGUCUCCUCCUAAAGAGUAACGGAGGAGCACGAAGGUUGGCUAAUCCUGGUCGGACAUCAGGAGGUUAGUGCAAUGGCAUAAGCCAGCUUGACUGCGAGCGUGACGGCGCGAGCAGGUGCGAAAGCAGGUCAUAGUGAUCCGGUGGUUCUGAAUGGAAGGGCCAUCGCUCAACGGAUAAAAGGUACUCCGGGGAUAACAGGCUGAUACCGCCCAAGAGUUCAUAUCGACGGCGGUGUUUGGCACCUCGAUGUCGGCUCAUCACAUCCUGGGGCUGAAGUAGGUCCCAAGGGUAUGGCUGUUCGCCAUUUAAAGUGGUACGCGAGCUGGGUUUAGAACGUCGUGAGACAGUUCGGUCCCUAUCUGCCGUGGGCGCUGGAGAACUGAGGGGGGCUGCUCCUAGUACGAGAGGACCGGAGUGGACGCAUCACUGGUGUUCGGGUUGUCAUGCCAAUGGCACUGCCCGGUAGCUAAAUGCGGAAGAGAUAAGUGCUGAAAGCAUCUAAGCACGAAACUUGCCCCGA
RNAcentral lists this ribosomal RNA (1567 nucleotides) under Salmonella enterica. Its description in RNAcentral is "partial 23S ribosomal RNA". It matches the Rfam family "Bacterial large subunit ribosomal RNA", at positions 1252 to 2802 of the family's 2925-position model. Lineage: Bacteria; Pseudomonadati; Pseudomonadota; Gammaproteobacteria; Enterobacterales; Enterobacteriaceae. The record is from RNAcentral.